GACGAACGCUGGCGGCGUGCUUAACACAUGCAAGUCGAACGGAAAGGCCCUGCUUUUGUGGGGUGCUCGAGUGGCGAACGGGUGAGUAACACGUGAGUAACCUGCCCUUGACUUUGGGAUAACUUCAGGAAACUGGGGCUAAUACCGGAUAGGAGCUCCUGCUGCAUGGUGGGGGUUGGAAAGUUUCGGCGGUUGGGGAUGGACUCGCGGGUUAUCAGCUUGUUGGUGGGGUAGUGGCUUACCAAGGCUUUGACGGGUAGCCGGCCUGAGAGGGUGACCGGCCACAUUGGGACUGAGAUACGGCCCAGACUCCUACGGGAGGCAGCAGUGGGGAAUAUUGCACAAUGGGCGGAAGCCUGAUGCAGCAACGCCGCGUGCGGGAUGACGGCCUUCGGGUUGUAAACCGCUUUCGCCUGUGACGAAGCGUGAGUGACGGUAAUGGGUAAAGAAGCACCAGCUAACUACGUG
This 468-nucleotide ribosomal RNA is filed under the name uncultured bacterium. RNAcentral describes it as "partial 16S ribosomal RNA". It matches the Rfam family "Bacterial small subunit ribosomal RNA", at positions 28 to 507 of the family's 1533-position model. The record is from RNAcentral.